UAUACAACUUGCCUCCACCGGAGGCCAAACACCUGUUUACCUAUCUCCAACAGCUCGGGGUGAGGACCGAUCUUGACGCUUAUUCUCAGGAAAAGGCUAUCGAUGCUACCGACUCCUUCUUCAAACAAGUCAGUGAUUGGCGUCAACCUACGAUAAUCGGUUCGAUCGCCUUUACUAUUCUGACGGAACUCCGUAAAUCUAAGGAGAUAAACGAGGAGAUUAUUAGAAAAGUUGUUCAGUUCUACCCAAAAGUCCCGGGUGCGGAGGAGGAGGAGGAGGAUGAAAUCGAGAAGUUUGCUGCGGCUUUAGGGUCGGAGGCCGAGGAGGAGACGGAGCAGGAGCCGGAGGUUGAGGAUCUUCCUGAUCCCGAGUGUGAUGAUUUUGAUUUUGAUUUAGUAGGAGACUGCAUGGAUAGGGCAAAUGAGGCAGAACCGACAGAACAAGACAGGAAAGAGUUGUUGAAACAGUGCAGUGAAAUGGGGUGCCGAUUGAAACAAGGCGACGAACAGAAGAUCCUCGAUCUGAUGAUUCCUUUCUUGAGCAGCAAUUUUACACGAUUCUCAUCUGAUAUAACUGAUCGGACAAUCUGCAUCGAAACAUUCAUGGAACAUGUCCAAGAUUAUAUCAAUCGUUCUAGCUUGCAUCCUGAACGACUUGGGGACGGUGAACCGCGCCAUUCAGACUGUGAAUAAGUUAAUGCAAGUAGAAGAGAUUGGAAAAAGGAGCAGCAUCAGAGUGUCAGCAGAAUGUUAAAGAAGGAUAUCGUAUUAACUAAAGAAGAAGGGAUUGCUACGCCCAUAUAUCUCUUAAAACAAGAAGAGAAAAGAGAACGUGGAGAUAUGGAACUUGACGAAUCCAAAAAAAGAAAAUAUGUGGAAUGUUAAUUUCUGUCUCACACAGCCAGAAUCUGAAGGUAUGGAAACUGAAGAAUGUGAGUGUGUGACAAGAUGGGGAGAAGGAUUGAUCACCAUUCACCAAUGAGGAGCACUGUUAGUUUAUGGUUCAGACGUUUUUUGGUUGUUAUGACUUAUGAUAAUAAGUUGUACUGUACUUGCAUUAAUGAUGUGCUGGAAUGGAAUGCUUGGUUAGAUAAUGGGUGCACCUUUAGUCCCUUUCUAUUUGGAUCACCAGUGAGAUCUUUGUUAGUUUAUGGUUCAGACAUGUUUUGGUUGUUCUGAUAAUAGGAAGUACCGUACUUUGCAUUAUGAUAUUUUGGAGUGGAAGUUAGCGCUUAGUUAGAUAAUGGGUGCACCUUUAGUCCCUUUCUAUUUGGAAUAUUUACCAGAUUCUAUGAACAACACCUUCUUGUUAUAGCAGACUAUAAGUGAAA
Long non-coding RNA from Rosa rugosa (rugosa rose), 1330 nucleotides. RefSeq lists it as uncharacterized. The transcript has 4 exons. NCBI's taxonomy places the organism in Eukaryota, Viridiplantae, Streptophyta, Magnoliopsida, Rosales, Rosaceae. The record is from RefSeq and is a predicted model, not a curated record.